GAUGAACGCUAGCUCCAGGCUUAACACAUGCAAGCCGAGGGGCAGCAUGACGAUAGCUUGCUAUUGUUGAUGGCGACCGGCGCACGGGUGAGUAACGCGUAUCCAACCUUCCCGUUGCUAGGGGAUAACCUUGCGAAAGUAAGACUAAUACCCUAUGAGGUUCUUCGCAGACAUCUAAAGAGAACGAAAGAUUUAUCGGCAACGGAUGGGGAUGCGUCUGAUUAGGUUGUUGGCGGGGUAACGGCCCACCAAGCCCACGAUCAGUAGGGGUUCUGAGAGGAAGGUCCCCCACAUUGGAACUGAGACACGGUCCAA
Molecule: ribosomal RNA, 315 nt
Filed under: uncultured bacterium
Lineage: Bacteria
Description: bacterial SSU rRNA
Rfam family: Bacterial small subunit ribosomal RNA
Source: RNAcentral